UGAUGACCGUCGACUUUUGAUUUUUGAAUAAUUCGAUUAUUUGAAAUUUGAACAGAAGACUACAUACGUACAGAGUUGUAUUCAUACGUUUUAGUAAAAAAUUGCCAUGCAUAAGUAUUCUUUUUAGUAAAACAUAUAAAGUGUCGCCACAUUACCUUAAUUUUCAUUUAUUUCCAAAAAUUGAAAAUAGUAGUAAAUAAUGGCUAAACAUCUUUGAAUUCAAUGAUUAUCCCAAUUUCUGUCUGUCAUAGAAUCUGCGGUAAUCAUUUCACAAUCAGUGAUUAUAAACAAGGAUCAGUAUAUUGGUUGAUAUUAUAGCCAGAGAGCGUCACAAAACAUAAUCCAAACCACUUGUCUAGGAUAGAGAAGUAAAAUAAACAUUAUAAAAUACAUUUUAAUAAAUUAUAGCAACACUGUUACUACUCCGAGCAGGACUAGUAAAUCAUCUAAGAGAAAAUUAUAUUUCUCUAACGACGAGUUAGAAGAAAAUUAACAGACAAACAAAAGAUUUGGAGACGUUGCGGUUAAUGAUUUUAAUUCACCCAGACUAGCCAUAGCAACUUAAUAAUGUAUAAUUCACUCACACUUAUUUCAUACAAGGGAUUAUACUUAUUAUGGUUUUCAAAACUGAAAUAUAUAAUGUGCUACAUACAAGGAGCUAGGUAGUGGAGCCAAUGUAUUGACAAUUUUACAGACGUUAACUUUUUAAAGAUAAUUCUGCCGGUUCAGAUGAAGCCAUACAAUACUGGAGUGAAUUAUGAAACUUAAAGGUUGCCGACAUAAAUAAUAUAAUAUAACGAAAAGGCCAUCUAUAUACUAAGCACCGACCAUGGGCAAGGUCUAUCUAUUUUAAAUCAUGAUGUUAACUUUGCAGCUUAGAAUCUAUAGGUUCGUAUGAAGCCUGUCUAUUAAUUAUUAAGAGACAAAUUUGCAGUCACAAGAUCAUGUUUGGCUUUGAGAAUUUAAAAAUUAGGGUGAAUUGACCUUUUAUGAAACUUGAUGGUAAGAACAUAUCUGUAUUUGUGUGUGAGAUUUUGCGAUAAUUCAGUUUUUAAGUGAGUUGUAAGCAUUUUUAAUUUAAACUAUAAUAUAUGCCCAAAACUUGAUAAAAAAUUGAACUACCUAUAAUAAAAAAAAAACAGAUAAUGCACUUACCGUGAACUUUUAUAAUACGUUGAUAAAAGUUUUGGGCUGUAUAUUUCAACAAUAAUUACUCAUUUUUUACAUUAUACGAUUUUAAUUGCCAUUUUUUUUGCCAUUUUUUAAUUAAUUGCUUUUGCAAUUUUGGCAAAUACACACUUGGGAAUACAUUGUUUUCUUAUACGAUAUGCUUCUUUUUUCCUAUAUGAGAUAAAGAAACCUAACUUUUAUACAUACAUCUGUUCUAUGUCACUCUGAUUCUAAAUUAAUCAAUUUUUUAUUGAUUUUUUGCAAUUACUUCUAUUGCGGCAUUUUAAUUUUGAAUAUGUUUAUUGUGAAAUAAUAAUAAAAAUUAUUUUAUUUUAUUAAUAAGAUAUUAAAAAACACGAUUACUACUAAUGUACCUAUGACAGUAGUUACAGCUCUGAAAUGUUUAUUAGGGUUUAGGGUAGAACGACUGUAAAUUGGAAUCGUUUCCUUUUAAAUCCCGGUUCGUGGAACAGCGUUCAUCGGACUUCAAUAAAAUUUAAUGCCCGCCACCGAGUUGUACCUCCAAUUGUUGCCGACGUUAGAAUCACUCACAAAUUACAAUUAUAUGAAAUUUGAACAGAAAUGCGGACUACAUUCGUACAGAGUUGAAUUCAUACAUUUUAGAAAAAAAUGUCCAUGCAUAAGUGUAAAACAUCCAAAGUAUCGUCUCGGCACACUACCUUAAUUUUCAUUUAUUUUCAAAAAAUGAAAAUAGAAAGAAAUAAUGGGUAAACAUCUUCGAAUUAAAUGAUUAUCCCAAUUUCUGUCUGUCAUAGAAUCUGCGGUAAUCAUUUAUCAUUUCACAAUCAGUGAUUAUAAACAAUGUUCAGUAAAUUAGUAAAUAUGGUCAGAGGCUGUCUGAAAACUUAAUCCAAACCACUUGUCUGGGAUAGAGAAGUAAAAUAAAUGUUAGUAAUUCAUGGCAAAAUUGGUACUACUCUGAGCACGACUAGUAAAUCGCAUCUAAGAGAAAAUUUUGUUUCUACAACGAUGAAUUAGAAGAAAAUGAACACACGAAUAAAAGAUUUGGAGUCCAUACAGUUGAUUAUUUUAAUUCACCCAGAAAAGCCUUAGAUACCCAAUAAUGUCUAAUUCACACACACUUAUCUCAUACAAUAAUGGAUUAUACUUAUUAUGGUUUUCAGAACUGAAAUAUAUGAUGUACCACAUACAAGGAGCUAGGUUGUGGAGACAGAAAGCAGAGUUCUAUUCAUACAUUUUAGUACAAAAUCACCAUGAAUAAGAGUAUUCUUUUCAGUAAAACAUCCAAUGUAUCGCCUUGCCACAUUACGUUAAUCUUCAUUUGUUUCCAAAAAAUGAAAAUAGAAGGAAAUAAUGGCUAAACAUCUUCAAAUUAAAUGAUUAUCCCAAUUUCUAUUUGGCAUAGAAUCUGCGGUAAUCAUUUCACAAUUAGUGAUUGUAUACAAUGCUCUCAAAACAUAAUCCAAACCACUUGUCUCGGAUGGAGGAGUUAAUUAAAUUUUAGUAAUUUACAGCGACAUUGGUAUUAUUCUAAGCACGACUAGUAAUUCGCAUCAAAGAGAAAAUUGUGUUUCUCGAACGAUGAUAAACCUACAAACAAAGGAUUUGGAGACGUUACAAUUUAUGAUUUCAAUUCACCCAAAAAACCCAGAAAAAAGCCUUAGAUACUCAAUAAUGUCUUAUUCACACACACUUAUGUAAUUAGACAUAUCACCUCGAUAUAUUUAAAUUGCUAAUAAACACAUAAUUAGUUAGGACUUCAGCAUCUUUUCUAAAGGGAAAGUGAUUCUAGUUGGAUGACAGGUAAAAAUUGAA
Acyrthosiphon pisum (pea aphid) is the source of this 2967-nucleotide long non-coding RNA. RefSeq lists it as uncharacterized. The record is from RefSeq and is a predicted model, not a curated record. The transcript is spliced from 11 exons. Lineage: Eukaryota; Metazoa; Arthropoda; Insecta; Hemiptera; Aphididae.